RNAcentral lists this ribosomal RNA (314 nucleotides) under uncultured bacterium. Its description in RNAcentral is "bacterial SSU rRNA". It matches the Rfam family "Bacterial small subunit ribosomal RNA", at positions 28 to 334 of the family's 1533-position model. The record is from RNAcentral.
GAUAAACGCUGGCGGCGCACAUAAGACAUGCAAGUCGAACGAACUUAACCUAUUCUUAACGAUUAGGAGCGGUUAGUGGCGGACUGGUGAGUAACGCGUGGGUAACCUGCCUCAUACAGGGGGAUAACACUUAGAAAUAGGUGCUAAUACCGCAUAAGCGCACAGCAUCGCAUGAUGCAGUGUGAAAAGCUCCGGCGGUAUGAGAUGGACCCGCGUCUGAUUAGCUGGUUGGUGGGGUAACGGCCCACCAAGGCGACGAUCAGUAGCCGGCCUGAGAGGGUGAACGGCCACAUUGGGACUGAGACACGGCCCAA